This 494-nucleotide ribosomal RNA is filed under the name uncultured bacterium. RNAcentral's name for it is "partial 16S ribosomal RNA". It matches the Rfam family "Bacterial small subunit ribosomal RNA", at positions 31 to 507 of the family's 1533-position model. The record is from RNAcentral.
GAACGCUGGCGGCGUGCCUAAUACAUGCAAGUCGAGCGAACAGACGAGGAGCUUGCUCCUCUGACGUUCGCGGCGGACGGGUGAGUAACACGUGGAUAACCUACCUAUAAGACUGGGAUAACUACGGGAAACCGGAGCUAAUACCGGAUAAUAUAUUGAACCGCAUGGUUCAAUAGUGAAAGACGGUUUUGCUGUCACUUAUAGAUGGAUCCGCGCCGCAUUAGCUAGUUGGUAAGGUAACGGCUUACCAAGGCAACGAUGCGUAGCCGACCUGAGAGGGUGAUCGGCCACACUGGAACUGAGACACGGUCCAGACUCCUACGGGAGGCAGCAGUAGGGAAUCUUCCGCAAUGGGCGAAAGCCUGACGGAGCAACGCCGCGUGAGUGAUGAAGGUCUUCGGAUCGUAAAACUCUGUUAUUAGGGAAGAACAAAUGUGUAAGUAACUAUGCACGUCUUGACGGUACCUAAUCAGAAAGCCACGGCUAACUACGUG